RNAcentral lists this ribosomal RNA (563 nucleotides) under Glomeromycotina sp. RNAcentral describes it as "SSU rRNA". It matches the Rfam family "Eukaryotic small subunit ribosomal RNA", at positions 548 to 1113 of the family's 1831-position model. The record is from RNAcentral. Lineage: Eukaryota; Fungi; Glomeromycota.
UUGGAGGGCAAGUCUGGUGCCAGCAGCCGCGGUAAUUCCAGCUCCAAUAGCGUAUAUUAAAGUUGUUGCAGUUAAAAAGCUCGUAGUUGAAUUUCGAGACCGGUUUAUUGGUCGUGCUUUUGUACGUACUGGUAUUAUUGGUUUCUCCUUUCUGACGAAUCUUAAUGCCAUUAAUUUGGUGUUUUGGGGAAUCAGGACUGUUACUUUGAAAAAAUUAGAGUGUUUAAAGCAGGCUCACGCUUGAAUACAUUAGCAUGGAAUAACGGAAUAGGACGUUUGAUUCUAUUUUGUUGGUUUCUAGGAUCGACGUAAUGAUUAAUAGGGAUAGUUGGGGGCAUUAGUAUUCAAUUGUCAGAGGUGAAAUUCUUGGAUUUAUUGAAGACUAACUACUGCGAAAGCAUUUGCCAAGGAUGUUUUCAUUAAUCAAGAACGAAAGUUAGGGGAUCGAAGACGAUCAGAUACCGUCGUAGUCUUAACCAUAAACUAUGCCGACUAGGGAUCGGAUGAUGUUAAUUUUUUAAUGACUCAUUCGGCGCCUUACGGGAAACCAAAGUGUUUGGGUU